GUACGAAAGUAGGUCUUAGUGAUCCGGCGGUUCUGAAUGGAAGGGCCGUCGCUCAACGGAUAAAAGGUACGCCGGGGAUAACAGGCUUAUCGCGUCCAAGAGUUCAUAAUGAGCUCCCCUCAGGAGUAAUUCUGAGGUAAACAGCGGCUCAAAUCGGUGAAACCCUUAAAUAAAUCAUAAGGGCAAUACCGAGGGUAAGGUAGCUUGUCGUGGAAACGAAGGAGACGCAAUAUAUGCGUCAACAAAGCUUGACGAAAGUACAAAUCAGUCUAUUGAUAGGUUCUUUGUUAGGUGAUGAGUAUUUGGUAAAAACUACAAAUGGUUAUGCCUUCAGAGUCAAUCACGGACUGACACAGGAAGAAUAUGUAGAUUGGAAAUAUGCAAUUCUUUCUAAUUUCGUCAGGUCUGCUCCGAGAGUAAGUGGGCGGUGUUAUUAUUUCAGAACAAUAACACAUCCGACUUUCCAAGUUUUCAGAAACAGCUUUUAUAAAGGAACAAGAAAGAUUCUGCCUAUGCAGAUGUUAGAAAAAUAUCUUAAUUCCUUUGUAUUGGCUGUCUGGAUAAUGGAUGACGGAGCAAAAGAUGGCAAUCAACUGAGAAUAAAUUCUCAAAGUUUUGACAGAGAAGAAAAUCAGUAUUUGCAAAAGAUUCUGCGAGCUAAACUUGGAAUAGAAACUACGCUUAAUAAAGAUAAAGACAGAUUCAGAAUUCGUGUAAAAUCGGAGAGUAUGAAUAUGUUGAUUGCGUCAGUGAAACAUUAUUUUAUUCCGAGCAUGCUUUACAAGUUGCCCCUGUAACGACUUCUCCGUAAGGAGAGAUAGUAACUGAUAGUUGUCAGCUAAAUUUAUGGUUGCUAUAAUACGCCGCUAUCCUGAAAAGGAUAAAGGGAUAGUCUGUCUUAUUAGUAAUAAUAAGAAGUCACAUCGACGACGCGGUUUGGCACCUCGAUGUCGGCUCAUCACAUCCCAAGGGUUCGGCUGUUCGCCGAUUAAAGUGGUACGUGAGCUGGGUUUAAAACGUCGUGAGACAGUUUGGUCCCUAUCUUUCGUGGGCGCAGGAUAUUUGAGAGGAGCUGUUCCUAGUACGAGAGGACCGGAAUGGACGAACCAACGGUGCUCCAGUUGUCACGCCAGUGGCAUAGCUGGGUAGCUGUGUUCGGACUGGAUAACCGCUGAAAGCAUCUAAGCGGGAAGCCAACCUCAAGAUAAGAUAUCCCCUCUGUAUGGAAACAUGCAGGCUGAAGACCCCUUGAAGACUACAAGGUUGAUAGGCCGGGUGUAUAAGUUCAGUAAUGGAUUUAGCUUACCGGUACUAAUAGGUCGUGAGGCUUGGCCACAA
RNAcentral lists this ribosomal RNA (1338 nucleotides) under Desulfobacteraceae bacterium IS3. RNAcentral describes it as "partial 23S ribosomal RNA". It matches the Rfam family "Bacterial large subunit ribosomal RNA", at positions 2397 to 2925 of the family's 2925-position model. The record is from RNAcentral. Lineage: Bacteria; Pseudomonadati; Thermodesulfobacteriota; Desulfobacteria; Desulfobacterales; Desulfobacteraceae.